This 1468-nucleotide ribosomal RNA is filed under the name uncultured Bordetella sp. Its description in RNAcentral is "partial 16S-23S ribosomal RNA intergenic spacer". It matches the Rfam family "Bacterial small subunit ribosomal RNA". The record is from RNAcentral. Lineage: Bacteria; Pseudomonadati; Pseudomonadota; Betaproteobacteria; Burkholderiales; Alcaligenaceae.
AGUUUGAUUAUGGCUCAGAUUGAACGCUGGCGGGAUGUUUACACAUGCAGCUGAACGGCAGCAAUGGACUUUUGGCCUGGUGGCGAGUGGCGAACGGGUGAGUAAUGUAUCGGGACGUGCCUAUAUGGGGGAUAACUAUUAAGGUAGCUAAUACCGUAUACGCGGCUCCUCGGGGGAAAGUGGGGACCUUCGGGCCUCGCACCACAGAGCGGCCGGGAUAUCGGAUUAGCUAGUUGGUGGGUAACGGCUCACCAAGGCGACGAUCCGUAGCUGGUUUGAGAGGACGACCAGCCACACUGGGACUGAGACACGCCCGACUCCUACGGGAGGCAGCAGUGGGGAAAUUUUGGAGCACUGGGAAACUUCUGAUCCAGCCAUCCCGCGUGCGAUGAAGGCCUUCGGUUGCAGCACUUUGCGAAAGAAACGGCACGGGAUAACACCCGUGCAACUGACGGCACCCGCAGAAUAAGCACCGCCAAUCACGCCAGCCAGCAGCCGCGGUAAUACGUAGGGUGCAAGCGUUAAUCGGAAUUACUGGGCGUAAGCGUGCGCAAGGCGGUUCGGAAAGAAAAUAUGUGAAUCCAGAGCUUAACUUCUUGAACUGCAUUUUUAACUACCGAGCUAGAGUGUGUUGGAGGGGAGGUGGAAUUCCGCGGCAGUGAAAUGCGUAGAUAUGCGGAGGAACACCGAUGGCGAAGGCAGCCUCCUGGGGAUAGCCUACUGACGCUCAUGCACGAAAGUGGGAGCAAACAGGAUUAGAUACUCCUGGUAGUCCACGCCCUAAACGAUGUCAACUAAUGUUGGGGCCUGGCCUGCAGCGCAGCUAACGCGUGAAGUUGACCGCCUGGGGAGUACGGUCGCAAGAUUAAAACUCAAUGGAAUUGACGGGGACCCGCACAAGCGGUGUGGAUGAUGAUUAAUUCGAUGCAACGCGAAAAACCUUACCUACUCUUGAUAUGUUCUGGAAUCCCGAAGAGACGAAUGAGUGCCGCAAGAGAACCGGAACACAGGUGCUGUGGUUUUCCGGCCGUCGCUUUCCGUGUCGUGAGAUGUUGGGUUAAGUCCCGCAACGAGCGCAACCUCGGUCAUUAGUUGCUAUGAAAGGGCACUCUAAUGAGAAUGUUGGUGACAAACCGGAGAAGGAUGACGUCAAGUCCUCAUGGCCCUUAUGGGUAGGCUUCGCACGUCAUACAAUGGUCGGGACAGAGACGCCAACCUGCGAGGGGAGCGCCAAUCCCAGAAACCCGAUCAGAAGUCCGAUCGCAGUCUUGCAAAUCGACUGCGUGGGAAGUCGGAAUCGCUAGUGACUCGCGGAUCAGCAUGUCGCGGGGUGAAUACGUUCCCGGGUCUUGCACACACCGCCCGUCACAACUGGCGGAUGGGCUUUACCAGAAGUAGUUAGCCUAACCGUAAAGGAGGGCGAUUACCACGGUAGGAUUCAUGACUGGGUGAAGUCGCACAAAGGCAG